This 2845-nucleotide long non-coding RNA is filed under the name Mus musculus (house mouse). RNAcentral's name for it is "long non-coding RNA chr18:68873511-68876356". The record is from RNAcentral. Lineage: Eukaryota; Metazoa; Chordata; Mammalia; Rodentia; Muridae.
GACUAGGUGUCCGCCUACCUAGCAAUGAUGCCUAUGGACCACAGCAGCCUGCACAGUAACCCUGAGGAUGCAAUAGUGGCACACACACUUUGAUGGUAAUCAUCAACCAACAACCAGUGAUCUCUAAUUGGACUUAAGACUUGCUAAAUAAAAGGAAAACAUGCCCGUAGUGAAAAUCAAGCUAAUUCUGCAGCUCUGGUGAUGUCAUGAUUAUUGGAGGAGUAGCUACAGUCACUAAUUUACUAAACCAACAUGAUCCCUGACAACAGUCUAUAAACAUUUGUCUUUGUACCCACAGAAAAGUGUAGUUUUCACCCCUCGUCAGGAAGACUUCUCUUUACAGCUGAGGGAAACUACUAUAGAAAAUCACAACCAAUCAAAAUGUGGAAGCCGGGAUCACUGUCCCAGUCAAUCCGUCUUCAAAAUGUUCCUGUACCUAAGGCUCAGUAAAUGCUGUAGAAGAGACAAGAUUUUAAGAGCCGGGAGUAUUAGGGAUUUUGCUGUGAGAUCGUGUCUGCUAGUAACGUCAGAAGCUCUACCUUGUAAAGUCUCACCAGUAUGACUGUUCAAAUGUGCGAUGACCAAGGAUGGCAACAGAGGACAUACCAAACUGGACAGAGACAAGCCCAUGAGGCUUCAACCAUAUGCAAAGUACUAUAGACAACUGAGGAGAACUGAUGAUCACACCAACUGGCUGUCCAGUGCCAAAUAAUCAUAAUCAGCCCUGAAAACCUACAGGAGCCUAUUUAAUCUAAUGUGUGUGUGUGUGUGUGUGUGUGUGUGUGUGUGUGUGUGUGUGUGUACUAAUAAUACACAUGCAGUAACAAAUAGUAAAUUAAAAUGAGGCUGUGAAUUUAAAGGUGAGCAGGAGGCAUAUGGAAUGGAUUUUUUGAAAAGACAUAAAAAAUAAAAUGCAAAAGAAUUCACGUAAAGAAAUUACAACGUGGUUGGGGGAUUGCAGAGGAGCAGGCCUCUGUACGGACUUCUCCUUUCUGGGUUCAGAAUCCCCCUUUUUACUGGGUAUCAGCUCCCUCUCCUUACAUUGCUCUCCUCUGAAGCUGUUCCUGACAUUAGAGCCAUGGACUGGAGGGAAUUUCCUCCUGGGUAAAUCCAAGCUAAGUGAGUUUUGCAUCUUGAAUGUGCCAUAAUGAAAGUAUCACCAGUCUCAGCAACAGUCCUGGGCUCUGAAAAGUCCUCGCAUAACCAAAACACUAUGGCUUUGGGUUUAUUAAUUAUUUUAUAAAGCAGAAUUUUUGAAUGAUUUAAUUAAAAGGCAUUAUAAAACAAUACUGGCUAAGAAAGACUUGAUUUGUGUGAUAAAGGGAAUAACGUAAGUUUUUUUUUAUUAUAACGUAAGUCCCCCCAAGUUAUCUACAAUUCUUAUCCCUCAAACCUUUCAUUGUUCUUUUACAUAACAAGAGGGACUUUGAGACCUUGGGGAAAAUUAUGUUCUGGAAAAGUAGAAUGUAUCACAAAGAUCCUUAAGAAAUACAUACAUGAUGAUUGGUGUCAGAAGACAAGGGCAUGUCAUAACAAGAGACAGGUGGGCCAUAAGCCCAGAAUGCUGGCUGCUUUGGGAGCCAGUGGUAGCAAGGUAUGGAUUCCCUUUGGAGUAUCCUAAAGAAACCAAUCUUGCCUAUACUUUUUUAACCCUGCAAAAUUCAAUGUGGACAUCUCCUUUCUAGAACAUAAGAGUAAAUUCACAUCCCUUUAAGACACUGUUGUUCAUGGUAUUUUUUUUUCUUACAGCAGCAAUAGUAAACUAAUACCUCCUACAUAUUUGAAAGCAAAGAUUUAAGUUAUGACUGUCAAGUAUCAUGGUAGGAUCCUAUAGUCCCUAGUACUUAGAGGUCUGAGCUAGGGGUUUAUCUGAGCUUUCGAGUUUGUGAUCAGCUUGGGAAACACAGCAACAUCCCAUCUUAGAAAACCAAAUGUGUUUUUUUUUCUUCUUUUUAAAAGUUCAGCUAAAAUUUCAAAGUAUAAAUGUUCAGAAAAGCUUAGUUCAUUUAGAUUCCAUUUGAAACAGGUCUUCUAAUGAAUUUUCUACAACGGUGCCCACUUAGCUGUAAGGUUCAUAAUUUACAACCUUUUUUCCCCUAAAAUUUCUGUCAGUCAUUGGCGAUUUCAACGCCACACUUUUCCUCCGUAGGUAAGCGGCUGGCAUGCACACAGCAAGAUUGCCUUAACUGGGACUGUGCUGUCUCUUUAGAGCAGCGGUUCCUGCCCUCAGUCUAAUGGAAACCCUUGCAAUAAUUCCUCUGAAGAAGCCGCUAAAUCCUUAAUCUUCAAGCUGCAGGUAAGGAAAUUUGGCCUCAUUAGACUCCCAGAAUCCCUUGAGAAACAGAGGCACAUGGCAUAACUAAGUUCUCUGUUAAGGAGAGAAGGAAGAGGAUGUGCCAUGAAGCCAAGAGCCAUCUUUCAGAUUUUUGUUUCUUCCUUUACCAUCCCCCCAAACUUUUAUAAGCUAUUUUCCAAUGCCCCUUCCUGGGCUCUUGAUUAAUCUCAAUGUGGAUAAAUUGCUAGAGUUCACUAUGUGAUUUAGGGUUGGAUAUCCAAAGACGACAUAAAGGCCGAUGUUAAAAUAACUGAAGAGAAACAAAUUUUAAAAGCAUCCUCCGUUAAAAUUUCCAAAGGUCGGUGCCCCUAACCAGAGAGGCAGGUGUUAGAUGACAGUCGACGCUGAGAACCCUUUGCAGAUGGCAGCUUAUAAUUCUGGCAGUGCAAUUUUCAGUUAAUGUGGGCUUUGAGAUGCAAUAGUUAUGUCCGACAGCCUUGUGGUUGAUUCUAAAUGUGAUGGAUUUUUUUUUUCACCAAGCUGCACACAAAGUUCACAGUUGAUCAUCGG